This 497-nucleotide ribosomal RNA is filed under the name uncultured bacterium. RNAcentral's name for it is "partial 16S ribosomal RNA". It matches the Rfam family "Bacterial small subunit ribosomal RNA", at positions 28 to 507 of the family's 1533-position model. The record is from RNAcentral.
GAUGAACGCUGGCGGCGUGCCUAAUACAUGCAAGUCGAGCGAACGGACGAGAAGCUUGCUUCUCUGAUGUUAGCGGCGGACGGGUGAGUAACACGUGGAUAACCUACCUAUAAGACUGGGAUAACUUCGGGAAACCGGAGCUAAUACCGGAUAAUAUUUUGAACCGCAUGGUUCAAAAGUGAAAGACGGUCUUGCUGUCACUUAUAGAUGGAUCCGCGCUGCAUUAGCUAGUUGGUAAGGUCACGGCUUACCAAGGCAACUAUGCAUAGCCGACCUGCGAGGGUGAUCGGCCACACUGGAACGGAGACGCGGUCCAGACUCCUACGGGAGGCAGCAGUAGGGAAUCUUCCGCAAUGGGCGAAAGCCUGACGGAGCAACGCCGCGUGAGUGAUGAAGGUCUUCAGUUCGUAAAACUCUGUUAUUAGGGAAGAACAUAUGUGUAAGUAACUGUGCACAGCUUGACGGUAACUAAUCAGAAAGCCACGGCUAACUACGUG